GUUUGCUUUUCAGCAGUACUUUUUAGAUUUUUUUUUUUUUUUUUUGAGAUUGGAUCUCACUUAAGUUGGCCAGGAACUUGCUUUGUAGAUUAGGAUGACCUUGAACUCAAUCCUUCUGCUUCUGUCUCCUGAGUGCUGGGAUCACAGCUGCACACCACCUCACCCAGCUAUUGAUUUUUGUAAAUCACUGAAAAAAAAAUCUGGAUAAAAACUAACCAUACCUUCCAGGGUUUUGGGGUUGCCCAUUGGACUUCACGCCACAGGGUGAGAUGCCUGUAUCACAAAGAGGAGGGAUUUCCAUCUACCUCUCUAGGACCGAGUUCAGUAUCUUGGGAUCAGGAUGACACCUGGAUCAGCUACUCACAAUCCGCUACUCACAGGCAAACAUGGACCCAAGCUGAUGGCAGGUAAACUUCCUGUACUUCAAACUGUCUCAGCAUUUGUUUCCCAGAGGACCCACCUUCACAUGGUAUUAUGGUGCCAGGAUGUGUUUUUCAACCUUGUGUGUGUUGAUGACAUGGUGUACAAGGUUUUUGUAGAGUUCAGUUUUGCCUUGUACUUACGGCUGUUCCCUUCUCCAGACCCAUCCAACCCCAGGUAGGUACAACAGGGACUUUUAUGAUUGUAACUUGGGCAUACAGUUGUCUUCAUUUUGGACAUACAGUCUUUCUCUUUCCCUUUAUUUAUUUAUUUAUUUUUGUCUUAGCUUUGUAUUUGAAAGCAUGUUUAUUAAGUCUUAUUCAGAAUUUCAAGAUACACACAUCAGCAAUAUGUUUGGGUCAUAUGGUUCAUAAUAUCUGCAUUUAUUACUUUACUUAGAAAGUUUUUUAGAUUUAUUUAUAUGUAUAAGUGUUUUACAUGCAUGUAUGUGUAUGUAGUUUUUUUAUAUUUAUGUGUAUGAGUGUUUUGCAUGCAUGCAUAUGUACAAUGUGUAUGUUUUGUACUUGUGGAGGUCAGAAGAGGGUGUCAGAUUUCCCAGAACUGGAGUUAUGGGUGGGUGUGAGCUACCAUGAGCAUUCUGGGACUUAAACUCGGGUCCUUUGCAGGACCAAGUGCUCCCAACCACUGAGCCAUCUCUCCAGUGCCCCUCCCCCACUUGUUUGAAAUAGCCUCACUUUGCAGCCCAGACUGGCUUAGAAAGUGGCCUUUAACUCAAAGUGAUCCUUCUGCCUCAGCUUCCCAAAUGCUGGAAUUAAUAGAUGUGAGCUACCACACUUGAUACCCCCACCCCAUUUUAAGAAUAACAGAAAUUAUUUGAGAGUAUAUAUUAAUAUCUAAAUGGUCUUUUAAUAUUUUUUAAACGAUCAUGUUACAUUGUAGGAUAUUUGUCAGUUACACCCAAAUUAGAAUUGUCUUACAGUUGUCAAUGAAAAAAGGCGGUGUCUUUCUAAGCCUACUGCCUUGUUUUUAAAUGGGCAACUUCCACAGACAUCUACAAGGUAGGAAAGGGUUGGAUAAGGUGACAGAUGGUGUCUACACAGGAGUCUUGGAGAAAUGCAGGUCUGGUGUCAGCUCCACUGGCAGAGACCAGAGGAGGGUGGAUGAGUCUUUGAGCCAAGACCCAAGGGUAGGUAGGAAGGUACCAGGCGAACAGGGUACAAGGGGAAGGUGGAUAUUGUUCUCAGUGGAUGUGGCAUGGAGUUUAGAGGAGAGCCACUGGCUCUGUUUGUCUAGGGUGCAAAUGGGAUUUGGGAAAACACAAAGUGCUAUGCUGAGCUUUAGAUUUUAACCAGCAGAUAAUGGAGAAUCAUUUAUCAACCAGGGAGCAAUAGUGACCAGGUUUCCCAGGUAGAAGAGUUGCCCUGGAGCAAUGUAAGGGAUGGAAUGGGGCCUCUAUGGUAGUGAGAUCUUUAGUGAUGUAGAAAAGUUAAGUGUUAAAAAACAAAACAAAACAAAACAAAAAAACACAUCAUAGUUAGGUUGGAGAUAAUGGCUUAGCAGUUAAAAGCACUUGUUGCCCUUGUACAAGACCUAGUUUGAUUUCCAGAACCAGUGUGGUGGUUUACAGAUGCCUGAAACUCCAGUUCCAGGGGAUCAGAUACUCUCUUCUGACUUCAGAGGGCUGCCACACACACGGUAUACAUGAACUUACAUAAACAUACACAUAUACAGAACUUAGUUACUUUCCAGUUUUUUUGUUUGUUUGUUUGUUUUUUUGUUUUUAAACAGGGUAUUGCUAUGAAAAGGCCUGGCUUACUUGGAACUCACUAGGUUGGCUUUGAAUUGCAGUGGCCCUCUUGGUGUGGGCUCAGGGUACUUGAUGUUACUGAUACGGUUAAAAUGCAGCUUGACCCAUCUUGUCCUUUGUCAUCUGGCAAGGGACACCCAGCCCAGGAUGGAGAAAUUCUUUAUUAGGGAACCAUGGCCAGGCUCUGGCUUCUUAGUCUUGCAUUGCAGAGUAUGUGGAUGCAUGCAGGAGUGUAGGGGGUGGGGUAGAGCAAAGGCACAGUGAACUGGGAAGGACUCCAUGCUGGUUUUCAAAUACUGGAGACAGCCAAGGGGGGGAGAUGACAGAAGUGAAGAAGGGGUCAAGUUGACAGAGAGUUAGGCAUUGUCAUGAUUCCCCAUCAUGAACCUGGUAGAACCAUCCCUUCUUUCUCAUUCUUAUGUCCUUCAUGGAAAAAAAAUGAAAAAAGUGAAAAAUAAAAAUUUUAAUACAUC
Cricetulus griseus (Chinese hamster) is the source of this 2661-nucleotide non-coding RNA. The record is from RefSeq and is a predicted model, not a curated record. Lineage: Eukaryota; Metazoa; Chordata; Mammalia; Rodentia; Cricetidae.